Small nucleolar RNA from Gadus morhua (Atlantic cod), 97 nucleotides. Its record names the gene SNORD16. It matches the Rfam family "Small nucleolar RNA SNORD16". Rfam says of the family: U16 is a member of the C/D class of snoRNA which contain the C (UGAUGA) and D (CUGA) box motifs. The record is from Ensembl. NCBI's taxonomy places the organism in Eukaryota, Metazoa, Chordata, Actinopteri, Gadiformes, Gadidae.
UGCUAUGAUGGUGUAAUUUGCGUCCUACACUGUGCCAAUGACGGGUGCCUACCGUCUAAUAUUGGCACAUCUGGCUGACGAAAAACGAGUCUGAGCA